CAGAGUCAAAAGAGGUUCUACCCAAAAUGUCAUACCACAAAAUGCCGCUGGAAAAGAAAAGGAGACUGCUGAUAAUACAGAAUUCGAAGAGAAAGACUUGUCAACAGUUGGGCCAGGUGAUAUGUUAAAACCCAGAGAAACUGGCUUUGUUCGGUCAUCAACAGAGGCUUUAACAUCUCUUGAUAAACAGCAUACCCAGUACAGACUGCAAGUUCAGACUGUUCAUAGUGUGCUGGCUAGUUUGGCCACAGUACAAAUAAAUCCAACAAUCAACUCUUCACUCCAGACCAGCCCUUCUACAACUUCACCACUUAAUGAAAACGCUGUAGACACUAGAAGUAGGAUGAUCCAAUUGGAUGCCAACAGGACUCGACUGGAAAUAGGUAGGUUCGGGACAACCACUACAGCUAAAAUUCAGCCAAAAAGACAGUUUACCACUUUACAAUCACAUAUUGAAACCACCUCUUUUAGCACAAGUACAACCAAUCUAGAACUAGAGGCACCAUCACCAGGAGUGGACAUCAUCACUUCCAACAAUUCACAACCAGAAAGCACUUCACAGUCAACAAAAUCAGCAAAAAUAUCCAAUGACCAUUCAAAGGAGCGAGGAACUAAAGGAACAGUGACCGAUAUAAAGAACACUAAAGGUAUACCAACUUUUCUAAGGACUGCCUCCCCUCUCCCGACUGGACAUGGCCAUUUUGUAUUCUCAGAAAAUGAUGGAAGAUUUACAGAGAAAGACCAGUCAGUCUCACAAGGAAUAGCCCCAUCUCUGAAGUCAAACCCUGCCUCUCCAACCUAUGCCCUACCCAAGGACCUCUGUGCUACUGGUGUGGGUCCCUGUGUUUUUUCCAAAGAUCAAAACAAUGAUGAAAAAUAUGGCGCAACAAAUGGGAGCUUUUUAGUGUGGGCGGACUUAAAACGCAC
Molecule: long non-coding RNA, 927 nt
Filed under: Sinocyclocheilus anshuiensis
Lineage: Eukaryota; Metazoa; Chordata; Actinopteri; Cypriniformes; Cyprinidae
Description: lncRNA (ENSSANG00000038599.1)
Source: RNAcentral